RNAcentral lists this ribosomal RNA (275 nucleotides) under uncultured bacterium. RNAcentral's name for it is "partial 16S ribosomal RNA". It matches the Rfam family "Bacterial small subunit ribosomal RNA", at positions 338 to 629 of the family's 1533-position model. The record is from RNAcentral.
CCUACGGGGGGCUGCAGUGGGGAAUCUUAGACAAUGGGGGCAACCCUGAUCUAGCCAUGCCGCGUGGGUGAUGAAGGCCUUAGGGUCGUAAAGCCCUUUCGCUGGGGAAGAUAAUGACGGUACCCAGUAAAGAAGCCCCGGCUAACUCCGUGCCAGCAGCCGCGGUAAUACGGAGGGGGCUAGCGUUGUUCGGAAUGACUGGGCGUAAAGCGCGCGUAGGCGGAUCAUGCAAGUCAGGGGUGAAAUCCCGGGGCUCAACCCUGGAAUGGCCUUUG